UACGAAGGGGGCUAGCGUUGCUCGGAAUUACUGGGCGUAAAGCGCACGUAGGCGGCGAUUCAAGUUAGAUGUGAAAGGCCUGGGCUCAACCCGGGAACUGCAUUUGAUACUGAAUUGCUAGAGUCCAAGAGAGGGUAGUGGAAUUCCCAGUGUAGAUGUGAAAUUCGUAGAUAUUGGGAAGAACACCAGUGGCGAAGGCGGCUACCUGGCUUGGUACUGACGCUCAGGUGCGAAAGCGUGGGGAGCGAACAGG
This 253-nucleotide ribosomal RNA is filed under the name uncultured bacterium. RNAcentral's name for it is "partial 16S ribosomal RNA". It matches the Rfam family "Bacterial small subunit ribosomal RNA", at positions 524 to 776 of the family's 1533-position model. The record is from RNAcentral.